Molecule: long non-coding RNA, 1817 nt
Organism: Cyclopterus lumpus (lumpfish)
Lineage: Eukaryota; Metazoa; Chordata; Actinopteri; Perciformes; Cyclopteridae
Exons: 3
Source: RefSeq, a predicted model, not a curated record
ACAGAUCGAGGUCAUCAAACUCCCGGCCGGUGAAGGCCUUGCCAGUGACAUCCUCAUCCUCAGUGAAGAUGCCGAUACGACGGCAGAUGGCCACAGCUGUGCCUUUGUUGUCACCUGGGAGGACAGAAAUGACGAUUUUGACAUUAUGUCUGUGACAAAAUUGUUUGUUUGAGAUUCAAAUAAUUUGUGUGUUGCGCCUACUGACCAGUGAUCAUGAUGACUCGGAUGCCAGCGGCCCUGCACAGCUCAAUGGAGCCCAUGACUUCCUUACGCGGAGGGUCGAGCAUGCCGACACAGCCGACAAAGGUCAAGUCAGUCUGGAUAAAAAAGGACAACAACAUAUUUAGUGUCCUUUGGAGAUACUUGCAAGCAGGAGUAUAAACUACAGUUGACGAACUUGGUGGAGUCCACCAGGUUCAUGUCCUCCUUCCUCAUCGGUGUGUCGGAGGUGGCCAGUGCCAGACAGCGGAGGGUGUCGCGCCCGGUGCCCCACUCCUUGAUGACUGACAGGAUGUUUUCUUUGACCGGGCCGGUCAGAGGAAUGCGGCUGGUGCCCACACGAAUGAGUUUUGCCCGACUUGGCAGGGGAGCAGAACACCGACAUGGACUUUCUGUCUCUGGAGAACUCCAGGGUGAACUCCUUCUUCAUCAGCUGCUUGAUCACCUGUGAGAAAAUGAGGAAGAAGAAGGUCAACUGGAGGAAAAUGAUCUAAGAUCAAGGUUGAGUCUAGCCCAUCGAUUACUUCACUGUUUAUUUGUAUUUGUUUCCACUAAUUAAACCUGAAAUACAUUUUUUUUUACCACUUCAGGGCUGUGGACAUUGACAUAUUUACAUAUAUAUUGAACCCUUUAAGUUAAUGUCGCAAACUUGUGAUAAUCCUCCACUGUGUUACACUAAAAUGUCUUUGUAUACAGGAUAACAUGCUACGUGCUUUAUGGAAUAUUUACAUAUACUUACAGAACAGCAUGCGUUUGCCCGCUCCACCUUGGACAGGCCGCGCACUUCAGUGUUGAACACGUUCAUCUUCUCCACCAAACAGGACAGCGCUGUUUCUGUGGCCUCGCCCACUUUCUCAUAAAUGCCCUUGGACUGCAUCGUGGAGCAAUAAGACAGAACAAACGUACAUUUGAAGUUGGCCGCGUGUCACAAUUAACCACGAAUGUCAUGAGCACACAUUCUCCUGAAUGCUCUGCAGACCUCAUUGUAGUCCAGAGAAGAGUCGUUGCACAGAGCGCAGAUGGUAGCCAGCUCAACCAGUCCGUCAUACUGGCCGCACUUCACCAACAUGCCAUUCCUUGUGCUGGCAAAAAAAGAUUGUCAAAGAUAUUUUGAAUUAAAUUAAAUAUUUUGUUAUAAAAAAAAGGUUUAACAAUGGGUUAUAGUGUUUGUGUGUGCAGGGUCCUAUAAGAUGAACUUACACUUCUCCCUCGGGGGUGUACUUUGAGCCUGAGAUGUCAAACUGACCGAGGGAAACAUUGUCAACCUCGACUUUGUCAAUGACGAACAUCUGCAUGGAAACAAAAGACCACACGCAUGUUAGAUCUGCUCUUAUUUACCGUCACCUAUCUGGAUUGAACACGAUAUUGGUUUGGUGAGCAUGAACCUACCUUUGUGACACACAUCUGGUUGGUGGUGAGGGUACCGGUCUUGUCGGAGCAGAUGACUGAGGUGCAGCCCAGGGUCUCCACAGAGGGCAGGCUCCUGACGAUGGCGUUCUUCUUGGCCAUACGGCGUGUUCCCAGAGCCAGGCAGGUGGUGAUGACAGCGGGCAGACCUGCGGAGGACGGAGCGAGAGAUCAGGCAUGGAGGUACUCAA